GGGCGAGUAGCUCAGGGGGAGAGCACCACUCUGACGCAGUGGGGGUCGCAGGUUCAAAUCCUGCCUCGCCCACCA
This 75-nucleotide transfer RNA is filed under the name Bacillota bacterium. RNAcentral describes it as "Firmicutes bacterium (sediment metagenome) tRNA-Val". It matches the Rfam family "tRNA". Rfam says of the family: Transfer RNA (tRNA) molecules are approximately 80 nucleotides in length. Their secondary structure includes four short double-helical elements and three loops (D, anti-codon, and T loops). The record is from RNAcentral. Lineage: Bacteria; Bacillati; Bacillota. RNAcentral also lists the same sequence under 2 other names.